Molecule: small nucleolar RNA, 91 nt
Organism: Sciurus vulgaris (Eurasian red squirrel)
Lineage: Eukaryota; Metazoa; Chordata; Mammalia; Rodentia; Sciuridae
Gene: SNORD116
Rfam family: Small nucleolar RNA SNORD116
About the family: HBII-85 is a member of the C/D class of snoRNAs, which contain the C (UGAUGA) and D (CUGA) box motifs. HBII-85 is encoded in a tandemly repeated array with another C/D snoRNA, HBII-52, in the Prader-Willi syndrome (PWS) region of chromosome 15. Unlike most other snoRNAs, HBII-85 is expressed prevalently in the brain (but is absent in PWS patients) and lacks any significant complementarity with ribosomal RNA.
Source: Ensembl
GGAUCGAUGAUGACUCCCACAAAAACAUUCCUUGGAAGCUGAACAAAAUGAGUGAAAACUCUAUACCGUCGUCCUCAUCGAACUGAGGUCC